This 94-nucleotide microRNA precursor is filed under the name Canis lupus familiaris (dog). RNAcentral describes it as "mir-8799 microRNA precursor family". It matches the Rfam family "mir-8799 microRNA precursor family". RNAcentral also lists the same sequence under 1 other name. Lineage: Eukaryota; Metazoa; Chordata; Mammalia; Carnivora; Canidae. The record is from Rfam by way of RNAcentral.
CGGAGGAGGCCGGAUCCUGGGCUGUGUCCCGCCCGGCGCCCUGUGGUGCCGGGGCCUGCGCUGUUGGAUUCGCGCUCCCGCCCCGCAGCCCCCU